GUGGGGAAUAUUGGGCAAUGGGGGAAACCCUGACCCAGCGACGCCGCGUGAGGGAAGACGGCCUUCGGGUUGUAAACCUCUUUUGUACGGGAAGAAGGAAGUGACGGUACUGUACGAAUAAGUCCCGGCUAACUACGUGCCAGCAUCCGCUGUAAUACGUAGGGGACGAGCGUUGUCCGGACUUACUGGGCGUAAAGGGCGCGCAGGCUGUGCUGCAAGUCAGCUGUGAAAUGUCUGGGCUUAACCCGGGCAUGCGGUUGAGACUGCAGUGCUGGAGUGCUGUAGAGGCAAGUGGAAUGCCCAGUGUAGCGGUGAAAUGCGUAGAUAUUGGGAAGAACACCGGUGGCGAAGGCGACUUGCUGGGCAGCAACUGACGCUGAGGCGCGAAAGCCAGGGGAGCAAACGGGAUUAGAUACCCGUGUAGUCC
Molecule: ribosomal RNA, 427 nt
Filed under: uncultured bacterium
Lineage: Bacteria
Description: partial 16S ribosomal RNA
Rfam family: Bacterial small subunit ribosomal RNA
Source: RNAcentral